AUGAACGCUGGCGGCGUGCCUAAUACAUGCAAGUCGAGCGAACAGACGAGGAGCUUGCUCCUCUGACGUUAGCGGCGGACGGGUGAGUAACACGUGGAUAACCUACCUAUAAGACUGGGAUAACUUCGGGAAACCGGAGCUAAUACCGGAUAAUAUAUUGAACCGCAUGGUUCAAUAGUGAAAGACGGUUUUGCUGUCACUUAUAGAUGGAUCCGCGCCGCAUUAGCUAGUUGGUAAGGUAACGGCUUACCAAGGCAACGAUGCGUAGCCGACCUGAGAGGGUGAUCGGCCACACUGGAACUGAGACACGGUCCAGACUCCUACGGGAGGCAGCAGUAGGGAAUCUUCCGCAAUGGGCGAAAGCCUGACGGAGCAACGCCGCGUGAGUGAUGAAGGUCUUCGGAUCGUAAAACUCUGUUAUUAGGGAAGAACAAAUGUGUAAGUAACUAUGCACGUCUUGACGGUACCUAAUCAGAAAGACGGCUAACUACGUG
RNAcentral lists this ribosomal RNA (494 nucleotides) under uncultured bacterium. RNAcentral describes it as "partial 16S ribosomal RNA". It matches the Rfam family "Bacterial small subunit ribosomal RNA", at positions 29 to 507 of the family's 1533-position model. The record is from RNAcentral.